AUCCCAAUAAUACCACUUGAAAAGUUGUCAGAAGUUACGGGAUCAACUAAGUUUUGCUAUGAUACACAAAACUGGGGCAGGGAUUACCAAGGAUGACGGCUAAAGCAACAGACUGACUAGACUAUAUUAGAAGAGAACCAGCACCGCCAAUACCCCAAAUCCCAAAACCAUAAGACUCAAAAGUAUGUUACUAGCCAACCUUAAGCUAUACAGGGUAUAAGAAUGG
This 226-nucleotide unclassified non-coding RNA is filed under the name Hevea brasiliensis (rubber tree). Lineage: Eukaryota; Viridiplantae; Streptophyta; Magnoliopsida; Malpighiales; Euphorbiaceae. The record is from RNAcentral.